This 408-nucleotide ribosomal RNA is filed under the name Fusobacteriota bacterium. Its description in RNAcentral is "Fusobacteria bacterium partial 16S ribosomal RNA". It matches the Rfam family "Bacterial small subunit ribosomal RNA", at positions 355 to 776 of the family's 1533-position model. Lineage: Bacteria; Fusobacteriati; Fusobacteriota. The record is from RNAcentral.
UGGGGAAUAUUGCACAAUGGACGGAAGUCUGAUGCAGCAACGCCGCGUUCGGGAUGACGGCCUUCGGGUUUUAAACCGCUUUUUCUCAUGACGAAGUUUUUUGACGGUAGUGGGGGAAGAAGCACCGGCUAACUACGUGCCAGCCGCCGCGGUGAUACGUAGGGUGCGAGCGUUGUCCGGAAUUAUUGGGCGUAAAGAGCUUGUAGGCGGUUUGUCGCGUCGAUAGUGCAAACUCAGUGCUUAACGCUGAGCCUGCUGUUGAUACGGGCAGACUAGAGGAAGGUAGGGGAGAAUGAAAUUCCCGGUGGGGCGGUGGAAUGCGCAGAUAUCGGGAGGAACACCGGUGGCGAAGGCGGUUAUCUGGGCCUUUCCGGACGCUGAGAAGCGAAGGCGUGGGAAGCGAACAGG